CAAGUUUAAAUAUGUUGUGCAGCUCAAUGAUAUACAUAUCGUAGUUGGAAUUUUUCAAUUGAUGGUCAUUAUUAAGUACCAAAAUGGUUGACAUUGAAGCGUUACACUUAUUACGUCAGCGAAAAGAGGCGCUAAAAAAAUUACCAAAUCCCGCCGACCCAAACAUAUCAUUUGAGAAGUAUGAAGAAACCGUACCAAAGACUAUGACAAAGACACAAACAGAUUUAGAAAAAGUAUCCAAGUAUGCAACAGAAAUUAUAGAAGAACUCGAAAAUGUCAGAGAAUUGGUGAAAAACUGCAGCGUCAAAAUCGGCGAACAUCUACAAGAAUUAAUGAAAAAGAACUUGAUAAAAAUUGAAUUUUCACCACAAGGAAGGCCGUUGAAUAGGAAUGAUAUUGAUAUGAAAAAACUAGAACAAGUUCAAACUGUGCAGAGACUUGCAAAACAACAACAAGAACUGAUGGAGUUCAUAGCGAAAACUGAACAACUGGUUUUGAAGAUUGAAAGUAACGCAGCUUUGUCCUUUUCCGAUUUAACUGGUGUUACAAGUCAAAUGAAACAAUGGUGUGAUGGUUUAGAAACAUUGGAAGAACAGAAAAAAAGAAAAAAAGAAGAAAAGGAAGAAGAAGAAAGGAAGAAAAGGGAAAAGGAAGACGCAGAACGGAGAAAAGUAGAAGAGGAAGAACGGAAAAAGAGAGAACAGGAAGAAGCUGAGAAACGGAGAAAAGAGCAAGAGGAACGAGAAGCUGAGGAGAAACGAAGAAAGCAAGAAGAAGACAAGAAAAAGAGGGAUUGGAAAAACUGGCCACCUUUCAUAUAUUACAAUACACGCCAAAACAAGUUUCGUCAGGAAAUCUGCUGUGUUAUUUUUACAAUGCCUGAUGGAACUCAGGAAAGUGAUUUUGUCUGCCAAGGGUCAGAUGCUGUUGAAGAUCUAGAUAAAUGUUUGGAAACCAAUGACGAACAAAUCAUAUCACCUGUUAUUACAAUACAACCAAAGAAAGGCAAAAUGACUUUUGAGUUGCCAAUGCGCGUGUAUGUGCCAAUAGUAUCGCAUGAUCAGUGCCUACUACCAACGCUGAAGUUAUCAAUUAAAGGUCAGAAAUGGAGAUCAGGAAAAUCACUUCCAGAAAUUCAUCUACCAAAAGUGAAAGGUGUUUCCUUCGUUGGAGUAGAAAUACCCAUUAACCAAUUUGAAAGCAUUCAGUGUGUUGCUGUUGACAGACACAAACGUCAUGAAAUCGAAGUCGACGAAGAAGGGAAAGUUUUUGAACCAGAAGUUGACAGAAAUAUCAAAGUAAAGUUUCCACAGAGAGCGUUUGCUGGGAAAACUAUUGUAGCUACGAAGGCAGUACCAUGGACUCAUGCGGACAUUAACAAUGCUUCAAAGAAGCACAAAGAGUUGCAAAAUAUUAAAACAGCUGGUUCUUAUAUAGAUAUAUCAUGCGAAAAUUCAACAAAAGAAGAUUCAGAUUUAGAGAUGUAUGAUUUUGGUUGGGUUGUUGACAAAAAUGUCAAAAAGAAUCAAUCAGUUAACCAAGAAACUAUUAACAGAUGUAGCAGAUGGGUAGUCAAUAAUUUAAAUCCUGAUGAAAAUGCAUUGCAAUUAAAUGAUGUCUUUGAUAGUGACUUCGUUGAAGACCUGAAGACAAAAGAGACAGAUGGGGACAAGACUCGCUUGAUUCUUCGUCAUUUGCACGAUUCUGAUGCUGAUAGUGACUUCGAUAAAUUUUUAGUCGGAUUGAAAUCAUCCCAACCAAUAGUGGCAAAUAGAAUAAAUUCUGUAAAAAAGCAAGUCAAGCUGUCUAGAAAAACUGAAGACACAGACGCCGAGGACAAUUUUGCUAGUGACUUUGAUCCAGAUUUUGAAAAGAAGGAGGGUACCAUUUGUGUAGUUUCAAAGUUGACAGGAAAGAGUUGGGAGGUUGUACCAAUAGAAGCCUCUGAAGAACAUCCAAAAGCAAGAUUCCUGAAGCUUCCAUCCGGAAAUGAUCAAUAUCAAGUUUUGGGACUAGUUGUUCCAGACAACAUGUCAGAAGAAGAUAUUUGCAGAGCAGCUGAAAUACUUGAAGGAUUGAAUUGUGUCACCAAUGUUUCAAUAAUAUGUCGUCAAAAGCAUACGAAUCCGCAUGAAGUUAUUAUUGAAUGUGUUAAAUCUGAAAAUGUAGCCACCACUAUGCAGCACUUGGAUUCUAUAGGUUAUAAUGAUGGGCCAGCUGAGAGUACAGGUUUUGGUGUUGUUGAUGGAGAAGAGAUCGAAAUAAAAUUUGAAUCAAAUCUUUAUUUAGAUCGUCUAAAACAUGCACCACUGAAGAUAAAAUUCUAUAAGCAUCUGCCUUCUAAUAGAUAUUCGGAACAUCUAGUAGUCGUCAGCAAGUCAGAGCAGGGAGAAGACAGUAACUACCAUGGAUAUCUAAAGUACUGUGUACCUCCAGGACGGUUGUCAUUACCAAAAAUAGGGUCACUUGUAGUGUACGUUCCAAAGGUAUGGAAAUCAGCUAAGUUUUUUCAUUUUAUGUUAAAUGCAUGCACAUUAAUUUUUUAUAACAACAAAGAUAUAUAUUUGUACAUUCAUAGUUGUUUAUGAAAGAAUAAUAAUUACAUUGAUACUUACAUUUAAGAAGCUAAUGAAUUGAUUUGUGCUAUAAUAUUUACUAUAUCACUCGAAUUAGUUAUGUGCAAUUGUUUGCUUCAUCUUGAAGGCAUUACUAUGACUUUGAAAUGCAGAACAGUUUUCGCAGAUAAUCGUUUAGUGUGUUUAUGGAUGUUAUGAUAUGAAAAACAACUCCAUACCCUCUGUUUCUUUCUACAUUCUACAUCACAGAAUACACCUGUAAAUAUUGUGCAAUAUUUUCAUAAGAUUCAGUUCUUCUCAUGUCACAUUAUUAGCAGUCCUGUUUUGAACCAAGUAUAUAUGCAAUGCAAUGAUUUUUGCUUUAACUGAUUCCAUAAAUGUACAUUGAUGUAUAUCGUACAUUUUUGUUUUAUCUGCUAGCCUUUGGAUUAGAUAAUUGGAAACUUUCCAUAUACACUUGAUGUACCAGUGAAAGCAUUGGCUAAGUACAUCGCUUGGCAGUUGACAUGUACAAAUUUUAAUUCAACAAAAUGGGUGAAACUUGGUGGGUAUCUUACUGACUGUGACUCCCAUCUUUAUCAUCAAAUCUGUAAAAAUAUUGACGAAGAAGCA
RNA transcript from Mytilus californianus (California mussel), 3188 nucleotides. RefSeq lists it as uncharacterized. The transcript is spliced from 13 exons. The record is from RefSeq and is a predicted model, not a curated record. Lineage: Eukaryota; Metazoa; Mollusca; Bivalvia; Mytilida; Mytilidae.